ACUCAGCUGACAGGUCCCAAAUAGGAUGAAACACGCGUCCUGGAU
This is a non-coding RNA of Schistosoma curassoni, 45 nucleotides long. The record is from Rfam. Lineage: Eukaryota; Metazoa; Platyhelminthes; Trematoda; Strigeidida; Schistosomatidae.